AGAGUUUGAUCCUGGCUCAGGACGAACGCUGGCGGCGUGCCUAAUACAUGCAAGUCGAGCGAACCACUUUAUGUGGUUAGCGGCGGACGGGUGAGUAACACGUGGGCAAUCUGCCUAUCAGACUGGAAUAACGCUUGGAAACGGGUGCUAAUGCCAGAUAGGGCAAUGGGGAGGCAUCUUCCUGUUGGGAAAGGCGCUAC
This 200-nucleotide ribosomal RNA is filed under the name uncultured bacterium. RNAcentral describes it as "partial 16S ribosomal RNA". It matches the Rfam family "Bacterial small subunit ribosomal RNA", at positions 8 to 213 of the family's 1533-position model. The record is from RNAcentral.